This 61-nucleotide small nuclear RNA is filed under the name Cyprinodon variegatus (sheepshead minnow). The record is from RNAcentral. Lineage: Eukaryota; Metazoa; Chordata; Actinopteri; Cyprinodontiformes; Cyprinodontidae.
CAGAUUAGCAAGGCCGCUGCGCGAGGAUGACAUCCGUGAUCGUGAAGCGUUUCUAUUUUUU